UUGCAGCUUAUUAAGCCGACUAGUCUCGCUGCAGUGCGGUGCUGGUGUGCAAAGGCUGCAGACAAUAAAUCUUUGGUUGUGUAUGUCCUCAGCUGCGAGGUGUUGAGUGCUUUAAGGGACCACCGAGACAAAC
Parambassis ranga (Indian glassy fish) is the source of this 133-nucleotide small nucleolar RNA. Its record names the gene SNORA70. It matches the Rfam family "Small nucleolar RNA SNORA70". From Rfam's summary of the family: snoRNA U70 seems to be exclusive to mammals and is a member of the H/ACA class of snoRNA which contain H (ANANNA) and ACA box motifs. H/ACA box snoRNAs are involved in the conversion of uridines to pseudouridines (5-ribosyluracil) a constituent of structural RNAs (transfer, ribosomal, small nuclear, and small nucleolar). The record is from Ensembl. NCBI's taxonomy places the organism in Eukaryota, Metazoa, Chordata, Actinopteri, Ambassidae.